UUGCUUGGGCAGUACAUAACUACUAAAAUUUGUAUGGUACAGAUAAUAUCAGCAUGUUCCUGAGAAAAGAUGACACGCAAAAUCGUGAUGCGUUGCACAUUUUU
Melitaea cinxia (Glanville fritillary) is the source of this 104-nucleotide small nuclear RNA. NCBI's taxonomy places the organism in Eukaryota, Metazoa, Arthropoda, Insecta, Lepidoptera, Nymphalidae. The record is from RefSeq and is a predicted model, not a curated record.